GGAUCAAUAUGUCGGUCGUGCCUCGGUACGUACUGGCAUUAUUGGUUUCUCCCUUCUGAAGAACCUUGAUGUCAUUAAUUUGGUGUCUUGGGGAAUCAGGACUGUUACUUUGAAAAAAUUAGAGUGUUUAAAGCAGGCUCGCGCUUGAAUACAUUAGCAUGGAAUAAUGAAAUAGGACGUUUGAUUCUAUUUUGUUGGUUUCUAGGAUCGACGUA
This 215-nucleotide ribosomal RNA is filed under the name uncultured Glomus. Its description in RNAcentral is "partial 18S ribosomal RNA". The stretch from base 38 to 215 matches the Rfam family "Eukaryotic small subunit ribosomal RNA", at positions 685 to 864 of the family's 1831-position model. The record is from RNAcentral. Lineage: Eukaryota; Fungi; Glomeromycota; Glomeromycetes; Glomerales; Glomeraceae.